Molecule: ribosomal RNA, 251 nt
Filed under: uncultured bacterium
Lineage: Bacteria
Description: partial 16S ribosomal RNA
Rfam family: Bacterial small subunit ribosomal RNA
Source: RNAcentral
GACGAACCCGUGCGAACGUUGUUCGGAAUCACUGGGCUUAAAGGGCGCGUAGGCGGCUCCUCAAGUCCGGGGUGAAAUCCUCCAGCUUAACUGGAGAAGUGCCUCGGAUACUGGGGAGCUCGAGUGAGGUAGGGGCAGCUGGAACUUCCGGUGGAGCGGUGAAAUGCGUUGAUAUCGGAAGGAACGCCGGUGGCGAAAGCGGGCUGCUGGACCUCUUCUGACGCUGAGGCGCGAAAGCCAGGGGAGCGAAC